AGAGUUUGAUCCUGGCUCAGAUUGAACGCUGGCGGCAGGCCUAACACAUGCAAGUCGAACGGUAACAGGAAGAAGCUUGCUUCUUUGCUGACGAGUGGCGGACGGGUGAGUAAUGUCUGGGAAACUGCCUGAUGGAGGGGGAUAACUACUGGAAACGGUAGCUAAUACCGCAUAACGUCGCAAGACCAAAAAGGGGGACCUUCGGGCCUCUUGCCAUCGGAUGUGCCCAGAUGGGAUUAGCUAGUAGGUGGGGUAACGGCUCACCUAGGCGACGAUCCCUAGCUGGUCUGAGAGGAUGACCAGCCACACUGGAACUGAGACACGGUCCAGACUCCUACGGGAGGCAGCAGUGGGGAAUAUUGCACAAUGGGCGCAAGCCUGGUGCAGCCAUGCCGCGUGUAUGAAGAAGGCCUUCGGGUUGUAAAGUACUUUCAGCGGGGAGGAAGGGAGUAAAGUUAAUACCUUUGCUCAUUGACGUUACCCGCAGAAGAAGCACCGGCUAACUCCGUGCCAGCAGCCGCGGUAAUACGGAGGGUGCAAGCGUUAAUCGGAAUUACUGGGCGUAAAGCGCACGCAGGCGGUUUGUUAAGUCAGAUGUGAAAUCCCCGGGCUCAACCUGGGAACUGCAUCUGAUACUGGCAAGCUUGAGUCUCGUAGAGGGGGGUAGAAUUCCAGGUGUAGCGGUGAAAUGCGUAGA
This 697-nucleotide ribosomal RNA is filed under the name uncultured bacterium. Its description in RNAcentral is "bacterial SSU rRNA". It matches the Rfam family "Bacterial small subunit ribosomal RNA", at positions 8 to 694 of the family's 1533-position model. The record is from RNAcentral.